RNAcentral lists this ribosomal RNA (529 nucleotides) under uncultured Fusarium. Its description in RNAcentral is "eukaryotic LSU rRNA". The stretch from base 163 to 316 matches the Rfam family "5.8S ribosomal RNA". The record is from RNAcentral. Lineage: Eukaryota; Fungi; Ascomycota; Sordariomycetes; Hypocreales; Nectriaceae.
CGGAGGGAUCAUUACCGAGUUUACAACUCCCAAACCCCUGUGAACAUACCACUUGUUGCCUCGGCGGAUCAGCCCGCUCCCGGUAAAACGGGACGGCCCGCCAGAGGACCCCUAAACUCUGUUUCUAUAUGUAACUUCUGAGUAAAACCAUAAAUAAAUCAAAACUUUCAACAACGGAUCUCUUGGUUCUGGCAUCGAUGAAGGACGCAGCAAAAUGCGAUAAGUAAUGUGAAUUGCAGAAUUCAGUGAAUCAUCGAAUCUUUGAACGCACAUUGCGCCCGCCAGUAUUCUGGCGGGCAUGCCUGUUCGAGCGUCAUUUCAACCCUCAAGCACAGCUUGGUGUUGGGACUCGCGUUAAUUCGCGUUCCUCAAAUUGAUUGGCGGUCACGUCGAGCUUCCAUAGCGUAGUAGUAAAACCCUCGUUACUGGUAAUCGUCGCGGCCACGCCGUUAAACCCCAACUUCUGAAUGUUGACCUCGGAUCAGGUAGGAAUACCCGCUGAACUUAAGCAUAUCAAUAAGCGGAGGAA